CUCUUCUUGAAUAUAUUUUGAUGUAUGACCUGCCCACUGAGUAUUAAAGGGCCGCGGUAUUUUGACCGUGCAAAGGUAGCAUAAUCAUUAGUCUUUUAAUUGUAGGCUGGAAUGAAUGGUUUGACGAGGUGUUAACUGUCUUUAAUUUUUUUUAUUGAAUUUAAAUUUUAGGUUAAAAUGCCUAAAUAUUUUUUUGGGACGAGAAGACCCUAUAGAGUUUUAUAAAUUUUUAUUUUUUUGUGUGAUAAUUUUUGAUUUAAAAAUUUAUUUUGUUGGGGUGAUGGGAAGAUUGAAUUAACUCUUUUUGUUUUAUUAUAUUUAUUUAUAUGUAUUUGAUCCAUUUUUAUUGAUUAUAAGACUAAAUUACC
This 368-nucleotide ribosomal RNA is filed under the name Cryptocercus neixiangensis. Its description in RNAcentral is "partial 16S ribosomal RNA". The record is from RNAcentral. Lineage: Eukaryota; Metazoa; Arthropoda; Insecta; Blattodea; Cryptocercidae.